This 252-nucleotide ribosomal RNA is filed under the name uncultured bacterium. RNAcentral's name for it is "partial 16S ribosomal RNA". It matches the Rfam family "Bacterial small subunit ribosomal RNA", at positions 524 to 776 of the family's 1533-position model. The record is from RNAcentral.
UACAUGGGGUGCAAACGUUGCUCGGAAUUAUUGGGCGUAAAGCGCACGUAGGCGGUUCGUUAAGUCGGAUGUGAAAGCCCUCGCUCAACUGAGGAAGUGCACCCGAAACUGGCGAGCUUGAGGGAGACAGAGGUGAGCGGAACUUAGGGUGGAGCGGUGAAAUGCGUUGAUAUCCUAAGGAACACCGGUGGCGAAAGCGGCUCACUGGGUCUCUUCUGACGCUGAGGCACGAAAGCCAGGGGAGCAAACGGG